GGAUUGUGGCUCAGCGGUGGAGUGCUCGCGUAGCACGGGCGGGACCUGGGUUCGAUCCUCAGCACCA
RNAcentral lists this transfer RNA (67 nucleotides) under Marmota monax (woodchuck). Its description in RNAcentral is "tRNA.Ala". The record is from RNAcentral. Lineage: Eukaryota; Metazoa; Chordata; Mammalia; Rodentia; Sciuridae.